This 494-nucleotide ribosomal RNA is filed under the name uncultured bacterium. RNAcentral's name for it is "partial 16S ribosomal RNA". It matches the Rfam family "Bacterial small subunit ribosomal RNA", at positions 28 to 507 of the family's 1533-position model. The record is from RNAcentral.
GACGAACGCUGGCGGCGUGCUUAACACAUGCCAGUCGAACGGUGAAGCGCCUUCCUUUUUGGUGGGUGUGGAUGAGUGGCGAACGGGUGAGUAACACGUGAGUAACCUGCCCCCUUCUUCUGGAUAACCGCAUGAAAGUGUGGCUAAUACGGAAUAUUCUGGGUCUGUCGCAUGAUGGGUCUGGGAAAGAUAUUGUUUCGGUGGGGGAUGGGCUCGCGGCCUAUCAGCUUGUUGGUGGGGUGAUGGCCUACCAAGGCGGUGACGGGUAGCCGGCCUGAGAGGGUGGACGGUCACACUGGGACUGAGACACGGCCCAGACUCCUACGGGAGGCAGCAGUGGGGAAUAUUGCACAAUGGGCGCAAGCCUGAUGCAGCGACGCCGCGUGAGGGAUGGAGGCCUGCGGGUUGUGAACCUCUUUCGCCAGUGAAGCAGGCCUGCCUCGUUUGUGGGUGGGUUGACGGUAGCUGGAUAAGAAGCGCCGGCUAACUACGUG